RNAcentral lists this small RNA (507 nucleotides) under Pan troglodytes (chimpanzee). RNAcentral's name for it is "processed transcript". The record is from RNAcentral. Lineage: Eukaryota; Metazoa; Chordata; Mammalia; Primates; Hominidae.
CGCUUAACCCUCCAAUAGUCCCCAUUCCGCCAGAGCCAGUGUCUCCUCCUCUUUACAGGCCUUCCCUUACCUCCCUCCAUGCUGUCCACUUCCUCUGUAAAGCUCUCAACCCUGUCCCCUUCCCCCUCUCUCCUGGGAAAGAGCCCUCCCAUGCCUAGCUGCUGCUCUUAGGGACCCUGUGGCUAGGUGCGCGGAUGGAAAUCCAGGUCCUCGAUGAUCUUGAAGUAAUGGCUCCAGUCUCUGACCUGGGGUCCCUUCUUCUCCAAGUGCUCCCGGAUUUUGCUCUCCAGCCUCCGGUUCUCGGUCUCCAGGCUCCUCACUCUGUCCAGGUGGAGGAGGUGCUGGCGAGUUUGAAAUUUGGGAGUCUUGACCGGGCGCAGUGGCUCACGCCUGUAAUCUCAGCACUUUGGGAGGCCUAGGCGGGCGGAUCACGAGGUCAGGAGAUCGAGACCAUCCUAGCCAACAUGGUGAAACCCCGUCUCUACUAAAAUACAAAAAAUUAGCCGG